Molecule: ribosomal RNA, 495 nt
Filed under: Streptococcus mutans
Lineage: Bacteria; Bacillati; Bacillota; Bacilli; Lactobacillales; Streptococcaceae
Description: bacterial SSU rRNA
Rfam family: Bacterial small subunit ribosomal RNA
Source: RNAcentral
GACGAACGCUGCCGGCGUGCUUAAUACAUGCAAGUGGACGCAAGGGAACACACUGUGCUUGCACACCGUGUUUUCUUGAGUCGCGAACGGGUGAGUAACGCGUAGGUAACCUGCCUAUUAGCGGGGGAUAACUAUUGGAAACGAUAGCUAAUACCGCAUAAUAUUAAUUAUUGCAUGAUAAUUGAUUGAAAGAUGCAAGCGCAUCACUAGUAGAUGGACCUGCGUUGUAUUAGCUAGUUGGUAAGGUAAGAGCUUACCAAGGCGACGAUACAUAGCCGACCUGAGAGGGUGAUCGGCCACACUGGGACUGAGACACGGCCCAGACUCCUACGGGAGGCAGCAGUAGGGAAUCUUCGGCAAUGGACGAAAGUCUGACCGAGCAACGCCGCGUGAGUGAAGAAGGUUUUCGGAUCGUAAAGCUCUGUUGUAAGUCAAGAACGUGUGUGAGAGUGGAAAGUUCACACAGUGACGGUAGCUUACCAGAAAGGCGGCUAC